Molecule: ribosomal RNA, 253 nt
Filed under: uncultured bacterium
Lineage: Bacteria
Description: partial 16S ribosomal RNA
Rfam family: Bacterial small subunit ribosomal RNA
Source: RNAcentral
UACGAAGGGGGCUAGCGUUGCUCGGAAUUACUGGGCGUAAAGCGCACGUAGGCGGAUUGUUAAGUCGGGGGUGAAAUCCUGGAGCUCAACUCCAGAACUGCCUUCGAUACUGGCGAUCUCGAGUUCGGGAGAGGUGAGUGGAACUGCGAGUGUAGAGGUGAAAUUCGUAGAUAUUCGCAAGAACACCAGUGGCGAAGGCGGCUCACUGGCCCGAUACUGACGCUGAGGUGCGAAAGCGUGGGGAGCAAACAAG